AUUGAACGCUGGCGGCAGGCCUAACACAUGCAAGUCGAACGAGUGGCGGACGGGUGAGUAAUGUCUGGGAAACUGCCUGAUGGCGGGGGAUAACUACUGGAAACGGUAGCUAAUACCGCAUACCAUCGGAUGUGCCCAGAUGGGAUUAGCUAGUAGGUGGGGUAAAGGCUCACCUAGGCGACGCUCCCUAGCGGGUCUGAGAGGGUAACCGGCCAAACGGGAACGGAGACAGGGUCCGGACUCCUACGGGAGGAAGCAGUGGGGAAUAUUGGACAAGGGGCGCAAGCUGGAUGCAGCCAUGCCGGGUGGAUGAAGAAGGCCUUCGGGUUGUAAAGUACUUUCAGCGGGGAGGCGGUACCCGCAGAAGAAGCACCGGCUAACUCCGUGCCAGCCGCCGCGGUAAUUC
RNAcentral lists this ribosomal RNA (406 nucleotides) under uncultured bacterium. Its description in RNAcentral is "partial 16S ribosomal RNA". It matches the Rfam family "Bacterial small subunit ribosomal RNA", at positions 29 to 526 of the family's 1533-position model. The record is from RNAcentral.